GAGUUUGAUCCUGGCUCAGAUUGAACGCUGGCGGCAUGGUUAAAGCAUGCAAGUCGAACGGGUUCGCAAGAACCAGUGGCGAAAGGGUGAGUAAUACGAUCGAACGUACCCCGAGGUGGGGGAUAGGCGUGGGAAACUGCGCGUAAGACCCCAUGAUGUCUACGGACCAAAGGCUUGCCGCCUUGGGAUCGGCGAUCGUCCUAUCAGGUAGUUGGUGAGGUAAAGGCUCACCAAGCCAAAGACGGGCAGCAGGUGUGAGAGCACGGCCUGCCACAUCGGGACUGAGACACUGCCCGGACUCCUACGGGAGGCUGCAGCGACGAAUCUUCCGCAAUGGGCGAAAGCCUGACGGAGCGAUGCCGCGUGUGGGAUGAAGCGGCUUUGCCGUGUAAACCACUGUCAGGAGAUAGAAACACUGAUCAUCUCCAGAGGAAGGGGCGACUAACUCUGUGCCAGCAGUCGCGGUAAGACAGAGGCCCCGAGCGUUAAUCGGAAUCACUGGGCUUAAAGGGUGCGUAGGCGGACUCGUAAGUGUCGUGUGAAAGCCCACUGCUUAACGGUGGAACCGCACGGCAAACUGCAAGUCUCGAGGAAGGUAGAGGCCGGUAGAACGAUUGGUGGAGCGGUGGAAUGCGUAGAUAUCAAUCGGAAUGCCAAAGGUGAAGACAGCCGGCUGGGCCUUUCCUGACGCUGAGGCACGAAAGCGUGGGGAGCAAACAGGAUUAGAUACCCUGGUAGUCCACGCCCUAAACGAUGCGCGCUGGAUCACGGCGGCUCUGACGUCGUCGGGAUCGCAGAGAAAUUGCUAAGCGCGCCGCCUGGGGAGUACGGUCGCAAGGCUAAAACUCAAAGGAAUUGACGG
Molecule: ribosomal RNA, 862 nt
Filed under: uncultured bacterium
Lineage: Bacteria
Description: bacterial SSU rRNA
Rfam family: Bacterial small subunit ribosomal RNA
Source: RNAcentral